UGAUAUCAAAUUUCAAAAUUGUAAAAUUGCCUUCGAUGGAGACAUUCUCCAUGUUACAACGGGUCUAUAUGGCAUCUACUUCUUUUAAGGGGUAUAAGUACUAUUAAGUUCACAAGGUUACACUUGUUAAAUAUUUUUACAUCAAAUAUUAACCUCUUCUUGCACCUAAAAUCAUACAAGUUAAUUGGUGUUUUUAUAGUCAUAACUGUAUUAAGUACAACACAUAUGCACUUCAAGAGGAAAUCUUGAAAAACCAAUUUGUGGUGACAUCUUUGGGGAUAAUUUAGGAACAUGAUUAGGAGCUUUCUCAACUAAGGUUGACAUUUGUACCUCCUUACAACCUAAAUUGCACGUAAUCAUGCUUGCUAUGGAAUGUGUUAACCUGAAAAAUUAGGAAGCACACAUUCUCAUUCUUAGAAUUCUACAUUUGUGUCACAUUAUCACAUAGUCCUAUGUGGCACAUUCCAAAACUCAUUUUUACUAUUCUAAAAGAUAAAUACAAUACUUCUA
RNAcentral lists this long non-coding RNA (510 nucleotides) under Lathyrus oleraceus (garden pea). RNAcentral describes it as "Pisum sativum (pea) long non-coding RNA (PSAT_LNC026454)". Lineage: Eukaryota; Viridiplantae; Streptophyta; Magnoliopsida; Fabales; Fabaceae. The record is from RNAcentral.